GUGGCGGCGUGCUUACCAUGCAAGUCGAACGAUGAUGCCCAGCUUGCUGGGUGGAUUAGUGGCGAACGGGUGAGUAAUACGUGAGUAACCUGCCCUUGACUCUGGGAUAAGCCUGGGAAACCGGGUCUAAUACUGGAUACUACCGGCCAUCGCAUGGUGGUGGGUGGAAAGGGUUUUACUGGUUUUGGAUGGGCUCACGGCCUAUCAGCUGGUUGGUGGGGUAAUGGCUCACCAAGGCGACGACGGGUAGCCGGCCUGAGAGGGUGACCGGCCACACUGGGACUGAGACACGGCCCAGACUCCUACGGGAGGCAGCAGUGGGGAAUAUUGCACAAUGGGCGCAAGCCUGAUGCAGCGACGCCGCGUGAGGGAUGACGGCCUUCGGGUUGUAAACCUCUUUCAGUAGGGAAGAAGCGCAAGUGACGGUACCUGCAGAAGAAGCGCCGGCUAACUACGUGCCAGCAGCCGCGGUAAUACGUAGGGCGCAAGCGUUGUCCGGAAUUAUUGGGCGUAAAGAGCUCGUAGGCGGUUUGUCGCGUCUGCUGUGAAAGCCCGGGGCUCAACCCCGGGUCUGCAGUGGGUACGGGCAGACUAGAGUGCAGUAGGGGAGACUGGAAUUCCUGGUGUAGCGGUGAAAUGCGCAGAUAUCAGGAGGAACACCGAUGGCGAAGGCAGGUCUCUGGGCUGUUACUGACGCUGAGGAGCGAAAGCAUGGGGAGCGAACAGGAUUAGAUACCCUGGUAGUCCAUGCCGUAAACGUUGGGCACUAGGUGUGGGGGACAUUCCACGUUUUCCGCGCCGUAGCUAACGCAUUAAGUGCCCCGCCUGGGGAGUACGGCCGCAAGGCUAAAACUCAAAGGAAUUGACGGGGGCCCGCACAAGCGGCGGAGCAUGCGGAUUAAUUCGAUGCAACGCGAAGAACCUUACCAAGGCUUGACUUCACCGGACCGCCUCAGAGGAUGGGUCUCCCUUUUAGGGUCCGUGGACAGGGGGUGCAUGGUUGUCGCC
Molecule: ribosomal RNA, 1008 nt
Filed under: Kocuria sp.
Lineage: Bacteria; Bacillati; Actinomycetota; Actinomycetes; Micrococcales; Micrococcaceae
Description: bacterial SSU rRNA
Rfam family: Bacterial small subunit ribosomal RNA
Source: RNAcentral